This 85-nucleotide transfer RNA is filed under the name Thiohalophilus sp. RNAcentral describes it as "tRNA-Leu". It matches the Rfam family "tRNA". Rfam says of the family: Transfer RNA (tRNA) molecules are approximately 80 nucleotides in length. Their secondary structure includes four short double-helical elements and three loops (D, anti-codon, and T loops). Lineage: Bacteria; Pseudomonadati; Pseudomonadota; Gammaproteobacteria; Thiohalomonadales; Thiohalophilaceae. RNAcentral also lists the same sequence under 1 other name. The record is from RNAcentral.
GCGGAAGUGGUGAAAUUGGUAUACACGCCAGAUUUAGGUUCUGGUGCCGCAAGGCGUGUGGGUUCGAGUCCCACCUUCCGCACCA